This 222-nucleotide long non-coding RNA is filed under the name Elaeis guineensis (African oil palm). RNAcentral's name for it is "long non-coding RNA (EGUI_LNC036978)". Lineage: Eukaryota; Viridiplantae; Streptophyta; Magnoliopsida; Arecales; Arecaceae. The record is from RNAcentral.
CGGUGGAAUUUUGCACCAACAUGGCCCAUGAUGCCGACAUCGACCACAAACUUUAGGAGAUGAACCAACAAAUUGAGGCAUUAUGUCAUCAAGCCUUGGAUCGGAAUGAUGGGUUUGGUUUCCACACUGACCCACACUUCAGUUGCAGGAUUAUGUAGGAGCCACUAUCCAUCUACUUUAAAAUGCCAUAGUUAGAAGUCUACGAUGGGUCAAUUGACCCGA